Molecule: ribosomal RNA, 492 nt
Filed under: uncultured bacterium
Lineage: Bacteria
Description: partial 16S ribosomal RNA
Rfam family: Bacterial small subunit ribosomal RNA
Source: RNAcentral
AGUGAACGCUGGCGGUAGGCCUAACACAUGCAAGUCGAACGGCAGCACAGUAAGAGCUUGCUCUUACGGGUGGCGAGUGGCGGACGGGUGAGGAAUACAUCGGAAUCUACUUUUUCGUGGGGGAUAACGUAGGGAAACUUACGCUAAUACCGCAUACGACCUACGGGUGAAAGCAGGGGAUCUUCGGACCUUGCGCGAUUGAAUGAGCCGAUGUCGGAUUAGCUAGUUGGCGGGGUAAAGGCCCACCAGGGCGACGAUCCGUAGCUGGUCUGAGAGGAUGAUCAGCCACACUGGAACUGAGACACGGUCCAGACUCCUACGGGAGGCAGCAGUGGGGAAUAUUGGACAAUGGGCGCAAGCCUGAUCCAGCCAUACCGCGUGGGUGAAGAAGGCCUUCGGGUUGUAAAGCCCUUUUGUCGGGAAAGAAAAGCAGCAGGUUAAUACCCCGCUGUUCUGACGGUACCCAAAGAAUAAGCACCGGCUAACUUCGUG